Molecule: long non-coding RNA, 3006 nt
Organism: Cervus elaphus (red deer)
Lineage: Eukaryota; Metazoa; Chordata; Mammalia; Artiodactyla; Cervidae
Exons: 4
Source: RefSeq, a predicted model, not a curated record
CCCAGGAAAUUUGUUGAGAGUUGGACUACAUCCUAAGAUCCAUCCAAGUCUAAAGAAGAUGCCACAAAUACCAUCAAACUGCAAAAUGAAAGGACUGUGAGUCCAGUGGUGGAUUUUUGUAGACUUUAGCAGGGGAUCUUCUCAACCCAGGAAUCAAACCAAGGUCUCCUGUAUUGCAGACAGAUUCUUUACCAACUGAGCUAUCAGGGAAGCUCAACUAUUAAGAGUAUUGUCACCCUGGAUGAGUUGAGUUCCCCACUGUCUUUUCUGCUUGACUGGUAACAAGGUGGCCCCCAUGAACACCAACAGCAAAUGGACCGACUCAAGUCUCCUGGUCUUAACAGCCUGAAGUUCUGCCAGAUUCACCCAUCAGAAAUAAUUUCCUCUUGAAAACCAAUGGCAGUGAAGAUAAACUGAGGCACAGAAGAUUAAGUAAUUUUCCCCAAAAUUCAUAAAUAGAAAAUGACAGAACUUGGCUUCUUAACCACUAUAUUCUAACUGCUUCCAACAGAUGGGAAGAUGGUGGCUUUUAGGUACUAUCUCUAUUUUUGUUCUCUGCAAUCCUUCAUGUAUUACUGUUAACUUUCCAAGAAUCUUAAUCUAUUAAUCAGCAAGUACAUAUUCAGUGCCUGUUAUGUGCCCAGAAUUGUUCUGCUCACUGUAUAACGGUAUAAAGAAAUACAGCCAGGCCAUUUCCUUCAGGGAGUUUACAGCUCUCCAAGAGAAGGCCCCCACAAAUCUGAAAAUAAGCUUAAUGUACAAAGUGGAACCAUCAUUCAGAAAAAUGAAAGCUUGAUUUGAUCUGGGUGCUCAGAAGCCAUGAAAAACUCAUUAAAAACCCUGAUGGUUAUUUAAGAGUUUACUUAGCUGCUGGCUUACCUAUGCUGCCUUUCAUCUCUUCCCUUACCUCCUUUUUUUUUUUUUGCAGCCUAAUUUUAGCUAUUGUACUGUUCAUAAAUAUUUCUUCCACAGAGCAAAUUUUAAAAAAUCAUUUAUUUAUUUGGCUGCAUUGGUCUUAGUUGCAGCACAGGGAACCUUUGUUGCAGCACGUGUGGUUCUCUCGUUGCUACACACAUGUUGCAGUGUGUGUGGGCUCAGUAGCUGUGGCAUGAGGCUUAGAUACCCCACAGCACGUGGGAUCUUAUUUCCCUGACUAGGGAUCGAACCCAUGUCCCCUGCAUUGGAAGGUGGAUUCUUAAUCACUGGACAACCAGGGAAGCCCCCACAGAGCAAAUUAAGAGGAUUGUUUAUAAGCUCAAAACAUCUUUGUGAAAGUUUAAAGUGGGAAGAGUCUCAAAUUCUUGGUCAUAGUGAUAUAUGGAGAUAUAUAUAUAUAUGUGUAUGUGUAUAUAUAUAUAUAUAUAUAUAUAUAUAAAGCUUUAUAGAUAUAUAUACUUUUAUCUCAACUACCUCCUUUCCUUGUCAAGUUACAUAACUAAGAAUGAACAUGUGUUAACAUUAGGUGUUCUCUGUUAUUUCUGGAAUGGCAGUGAGUAAACAAAGGCUUCAUUGAUGUAAUAUUGUCUUUAGGUUGGCUAGCAGAGUAACUGCCUCCCAAUAAAAACCUAGCAAAUUUUUAUUGUUUCAUGGAUUGAAUGCAUGAAAUUAAAGAAAUCCUAGGGUGACUCUUUUUAUAGUUGAUGAAGAAAAUCCUCAUGAGUUUGUAUUAUAAUUUGAAGGGAUUUUCCUAAUGCAAUACAUGUCAACACACCUUAGAGAAAAAGUUGUCAUUGAUCUAUUAUCCUGACACCAAAUCUCUUUUAGGAUUAAGGGACAGGAUUCAUUCACAGUGUCAGACCACUCCCUCCCCAGUGCAAUACAUAGCAGACAUUAGGUGUUUGUUGGUUGGAAAUAUUUGUUAGGUGAAAAAAUGAAUCAUUUGACAGUCUCUAGUUUGAUGGUGAAGAAGUCUAAGUGCUCAAUAACCACUUCUCCCAGUGACAGGUUCUACACAAAACUAACAGUAACAACAGAACAGUGUUUUAGGAGAAACUUGAUAAUGUAGCAGUCAGAUCAUGUACUUUGAAGCCAAGCAGACUAGAGUCUAGUCCUAUCUCUGCCACUUAGGAGCUAGCAUGUGACCCUCAGGGAGGUUGCUUAACCUCUUCAAGUCUCAACUUCCCAAUCUUUCAACUGGGAGCAGUAACAGUAUUCCAUAUGCUUGUUGUGAGGAUUAAAAAAGAUACUCUGCACUGUGACGCAUUACAGUAAGCGCUCAACACACGGUAAAUAAAGUUGUUAUUCUACAAGGAUUUUAGGAGUUGAGGCUGUGGCCAUUUGGAUCUGUAAAGAAUCUUGACAACAGUGGGAAAAUCUAAAACAGAGGAGCUUAUAUACUUCCUGUGUUUCUCUUGUCUUGCUUUAGGAAUUUUGAGUGAUGUAUGUUUGGUAGUAUGAGUAUGUGAAAGGACGCAGAGGUGCAGCGGGACAGGAUCUAGAAAUUCUUUCUACCUUUAGAGAAAUGCCCUCUACCAAGGAUUUAUGCUAACAGGGCCCACAGGCCCACCCUAUCAGCUGAGGAUGAAAACAGCCAGAGACAAUGGGAUAUGACACAGUAAUGAGUUCUCAUUUGUCAGGUGUCUACUUGCCGAUAUGGUCUAAGGAUAUGGUGUUCAAUAAUUUCUAGAAAUUGGUAAUAAUGAUACCAUUUACACGGCAGCUCCUCUGGCAGUUUUCAAAGUGCUUUCACAUACACUCUCUGUUUAAUUUCCACCACCGUGCUAUGAGGAACCUGAAAUAAAUAUUAUCAUUCCCAUUUUAUAGAUGAGUAAAUAUAUUCUGAAAAAUGAAAUGACCACGUCCAAGGUCACACAGCUGCUCAGUAAUCAACCUCAGAUUUAAACCUGAGUUCUCACUCAGGGGUCAUUAAUUUUUUUUCCCACGAAACUAAAGAGCUUGUUUAUUCUACAUAACUCAUGUAGUAUUUUGAAUAUUAAGUGUACUUGCCCCCAUGCUCCCUGGUUUAGUCGGUAAAGAAUCUGCUGCAAUGCAGGAGACCUGGGUUCA